GGGCUUUUAGCAUAAUCAGGAUAGUGCGGGGGGCUACGGACUCCCUGAUGCAGGUUCAAAUCCUGCAGAGCUCA
Molecule: transfer RNA, 74 nt
Filed under: Candidatus Woesearchaeota archaeon
Lineage: Archaea; Nanobdellati; Candidatus Woesearchaeota
Description: tRNA-Arg
Rfam family: tRNA
About the family: Transfer RNA (tRNA) molecules are approximately 80 nucleotides in length. Their secondary structure includes four short double-helical elements and three loops (D, anti-codon, and T loops).
Source: RNAcentral